GAUGAUGUUUACUUCAGAGACGCUGUUGUAAUUCCUGUUUGGAAACCUGGACAUUUCUUGUUAUCUAAACCUUUGUCAGUCUCUCAGCCCUGGGCCAUGGAAAGAGACGACUGGUUUGGACAUCGAGGGCUUUCCACGGCAAAAGUAUGGCAUCGACUGUGGCAUCUCCAUGUUGAUGGUAGGUGUGAAUAUUAGGCAGAUUUAUUUACUCUUUGUGCUUAAAAAAUAUUUACAUAAUUUUUUUAUUUUUAUUUACAGUAUGCCCUUUACAAAGUCAUGGAUGCACCCUUUGACUUCACUGUUGUAAGUUCCCUUGCUUAUUCAAAGCUAUCUAAAAAGUUAUUUUAUAUUAUGUGUAUCAUGCUGAUUGAAAAUCUUGACCUUGGAAGCCAUGGCAAACUCUUUGCCCACUGGACUGACACAUCUAAGGCUCUUCUUCGGGGUGAGGUGCCACCAGUUUUUAAACUGAAGAAGAGAAGGCGAGAUGACAUUCAUGAGGGGCCACUUGACAACAUUGUAGCUGGAGUUGCCUGGCUGCGUCAGAAUGCAGGUUUGCUCAGGGGGAAGGUGGUUGAGCCCGCAUUUCCGAAUAUCGACGCAAAAGAACAGCAGGAGCUCCUGAAAAGGAUCCGUUCUUCAACUGAUGAAGAAGAAAAGCAUCCCCUGCUCUUCACAUUUGAUUUUCAGGAAGACAUGGAGGUCUUCCUUAACAUGGCAGCUGAGGAGGAUCUUCGGGUCAACGCCAUGUUUCUGGGUCGCUGGGUGGACAGCCAGUGACAUUGCUGUGUGUGUGUGUGUGUGUGUGUGUGUGUGUGUGUGUGUGUGUGUGUGUGUGUGUGUGUGUGUGUGUGUGUGUGUGUGUGUGUGUGUGUGUGUGUGUGUGUGUGUGUGUGUGUGUGUUGAGGUUCUGAGUUCAGUUAUCUGUUGUGUUCUUAAUAAAGUGUUAUAACGUUUACAAUGUAUUGAUUUUUUGUAUUACUUUACUUAUUCACUUUGGUUACACACAGAGCUAAGUUAAAACACAGACUUGAGUUUGUCGUAUUUAAAUAUGGGCAAAUAAGGUGGUCCCGCAGCACAAGGUAAGACAAUAUUAUAGACAAUUAGAGCCAGAUAUUAAAUGAAUGAUGGUUCAGAGUAAGAAUUUAGGAAUGCAAAAGUGCUAAUAACAUAUGAUAAAUUAUGUUGGAAUGCAGUCGAACCUUAUGAUAUUAAGACAACAGAAUGUAACAUAGCUAGACCUAAUAUAAAUAUGUCAGAAAAGGUGAAGCUAAAGGGGAAUUGUUCUAUCUAUUCCUGUUCACUCAUACAUAGUAUUUAAAAUAAUUAUUAGCCUCAAUCUCUGAUGCCCUUCAACUUUAAUAACGAGU
Molecule: long non-coding RNA, 1367 nt
Filed under: Gadus morhua (Atlantic cod)
Lineage: Eukaryota; Metazoa; Chordata; Actinopteri; Gadiformes; Gadidae
Description: lncRNA (ENSGMOG00000035557.1)
Source: RNAcentral